RNAcentral lists this long non-coding RNA (574 nucleotides) under Helianthus annuus (common sunflower). RNAcentral's name for it is "hypothetical non coding rna". The record is from RNAcentral. Lineage: Eukaryota; Viridiplantae; Streptophyta; Magnoliopsida; Asterales; Asteraceae.
GUGUGCAUCAAGUUAACACUUAACUUAACACCAAACUGUACACUUGAAAAGUCGUGAUAUCAACAAAGUUGGCAUUAAAUUAAAGUCGUGAUGUCAACAAAGGUGGUUCCACAUUCUAAAAUCAAUUCAAAUACUUAAGGCAUAAAUAAACUCAUAAUUCUUAGAAAUGUGCUUCUACAAACGGAUUCAAAGGCUAAAUUCUUCUCAAAUUUCAAUGGCGUAUUGCCAUCGAAUAAGACUAAAGAUAAUUUACUAACCGAGCAGAGGGAGCCAUGGCUGCAUUGGCCACGCCAAGAUGCAAAUAAUCACAACUAUGCUCGAUUUCCUUCAGACGCAUUCAAAAGACUAAAGAUAAAUUACUAAACUUACGAAUAUGCCAAUGAAGCAAGGGUAUGGUAAGAAGAUUAGCAAACCAAAUCCCGACUUGGUAUCGUUCAUCUUGCGAACUCGAACUCAAGUCUAGAGCUAGACCAAGACCAAAUGCAAAUGGGUCGUUACCUGAAACCCACCAGAUUGUUGUUACCAUACAACCUUGAGCCCAAACCAACCCGACCCAGUACACACACUCCGAUCU